UUUUUAUUGAAUCUCUCGACAGUUAUUUCAAAGAUCGAGAGCGAUUGGAUCUCUAGGUAAUAUUUCUUCAUCAUCCACCAAUGGUGCCUCUCUCCGCACCUUCUCUAACUCGUCUCUUCGCAGCUUCUCUACCUCCUCACGUAAUUUCAAGAUGUCGCCGUUUCUUGAAUCCGUCAUGCAUGUACAUCCAAUGAAUCAUUACUCUUCUUGCUCGUGCGAUUGGGUCUCGCAGCAAAAUCUGUAAUCUCUUUUCGUUUUAAUGUUUCCCUCGACAGUUACGUCAAAGAUCGAUUGGAUCUCUCCCCUGUAUUUCUUCAUCAUCGUCCAGUUGUGUCUUUCUCCGCACUAUCUCUCCUCUUCGCAACUUCUCAACAUUCUCUACAUAUAGACAUACCUACAUAUAGACCAGAUGAGGAAAAGAAGAAGCUUGAUUGCUAUAAAAAAAGAUAGUCAGCUUUUAUUUUUAAACACACUAAAAUAAAUGUUGUGAUAUUCAUUGCUAGUCUGAAUAG
Molecule: long non-coding RNA, 512 nt
Filed under: Arabidopsis lyrata
Lineage: Eukaryota; Viridiplantae; Streptophyta; Magnoliopsida; Brassicales; Brassicaceae
Description: long non-coding RNA (ALYR_LNC000406)
Source: RNAcentral